This 73-nucleotide transfer RNA is filed under the name Ixodes scapularis (black-legged tick). It matches the Rfam family "tRNA". From Rfam's summary of the family: Transfer RNA (tRNA) molecules are approximately 80 nucleotides in length. Their secondary structure includes four short double-helical elements and three loops (D, anti-codon, and T loops). Lineage: Eukaryota; Metazoa; Arthropoda; Arachnida; Ixodida; Ixodidae. The record is from Rfam by way of RNAcentral.
UCCUGGUCAGCUCACUUGGUAGUGCGCUCCACUGGAAAUGGAGAGGUCUCUGGUUCGAUACCAGGACCAGGCA